RNAcentral lists this ribosomal RNA (301 nucleotides) under uncultured bacterium. Its description in RNAcentral is "partial 16S ribosomal RNA". It matches the Rfam family "Bacterial small subunit ribosomal RNA", at positions 509 to 807 of the family's 1533-position model. The record is from RNAcentral.
CAGUCGCCGCGGGAAUACGUAGGGUGCGAGCGUUAAUCGGAAUUACUGGGCGUAAAGCGUGCGCAGGCGGUUCGUUAAGACAGAUGUGAAAUCCCCGGGCUUAACCUGGGAACUGCAUUUGUGACUGGCGAGCUAGAGUAUGGCAGAGGGGGGUAGAAUUCCACGUGUAGCAGUGAAAUGCGUAGAGAUGUGGAGGAAUACCGAUGGCGAAGGCAGCCCCCUGGGCCAAUACUGACGCUCAUGCACGAAAGCGUGGGGAGCAAACAGGAUUAGAUACCCGUGUAGUCCCUGUCUCUUAUAC